This 55-nucleotide transfer RNA is filed under the name Aspidoscelis inornatus (Little striped whiptail). RNAcentral describes it as "tRNA-Cys". Lineage: Eukaryota; Metazoa; Chordata; Lepidosauria; Squamata; Teiidae. The record is from RNAcentral.
AGUCCCGUUCAACGAACUGCAAAUUCUAAAUAAGCACCAUAAAGGUGCCGGGGCU